GGUACCGUUAUCUUUCUCCUCCUUUGAUUAUCUCUCACCAGUCACUAGUCUCCGGCAAAAACGUAACGCUCGAAAGUCUAUAACUAUUUGACCAUCCAAAAAGUGCUUUUUCUACCAUAUCCUAAUCAAGGGUAUUUUCGUCUGUUUGAUUUAUGCAUGUAAAAAUCUUAGGUAGAUUAAUGAAACCAUUUGAGGUAAUCUUGCCGGUUCACAUCGGAAUAUGCGAUCUGAGUUGGAAAGUUGAAUCUUGAAUGUAACUCUUAUCCGAUCUCUCGGUAGUCCUUGUUUAAUGGAUUAGCUAGCACAAGGUUAUUUUGGUCCAUUAACCCAUGUAUGAUUAAUUUUAGGCUAGCAAAGUUUAAGUUUCUUGUUAGAUUAUUUCAGUUUGGAUAGUGUUAGAUUUUGACUUUUUGUUAUGAUGACACGUGCAGGGUCACACAGCGUGGGAAGAACUCACUGUGUUAAGCUGGUCCAUCGUUUGUACCCUGAGGUGGACCCGUCCUUGAACCCGGACCACGUCCCUCACAUGCUACACAAGUGUCCUGACUCGAUCCCUGACCCAAAGGCUGUUCAGUACGUGCGUAAUGACCGUGGCACUCCCAUGGUGCUAGACAACAAUUACUACCGUAACAUCCUAGACAACAAGGGUUUGCUCCUUGUCGACCAUCAGCUCGCACACGACAAAAGGACCAGACCAAUUGUUAAGAAGAUGGCUAAGGACCAGGCCUACUUCUUCAAGGAGUUCACUAGAGCGAUCCAGAUCUUAUCCGAGAACAACCCUUUGACCGGCUCUAAGGGUGAGAUUAGGAAGCAAUGUAAUCUCGCAAACAAGAACCACUAAAGUUGGAAAAAAGUGAGAAAAGACAGAGGCUCUGGUGUGUUGGGGUUCUCUGCUUGGUACGUAUCGAAAC
Molecule: long non-coding RNA, 911 nt
Filed under: Capsella grandiflora
Lineage: Eukaryota; Viridiplantae; Streptophyta; Magnoliopsida; Brassicales; Brassicaceae
Description: long non-coding RNA (CGRA_LNC000042)
Source: RNAcentral